GGCUUAGAGUUUGAUCCUGGCUCAGAUUGAACGCUGGCGGAAUGCUUUACACAUGCAAGUCGAGCGGCAGCGCGGGGGCAACCCUGGCGGCGAGCGGCGAACGGGUGAGUAACACAUCGGAACGUACCCAGUCGUGGGGGAUAACACAUCGAAAGAUGUGCUAAUACCGCAUACGACCUGAGGGUGAAAGGGGGGGAUCGCAAGACCUCUCGCGAUUGGAGCGGCCGAUGUCGGAUUAGCUAGUUGGUGAGGUAAAGGCUCACCAAGGCGACGAUCCGUAGCUGGUCUGAGAGGAUGAUCAGCCACACUGGAACUGAGACACGGUCCAGACUCCUACGGGAGGCAGCAGUGGGGAAUUUUGGACAAUGGGGGCAACCCUGAUCCAGCCAUUCCGCGUGAGUGAAGAAGGCCUUCGGGUUGUAAAGCUCUUUCGGCAGGAACGAAACGGCGGGCUCUAACAUAGCCUGUCAAUGACGGUACCUGAAGAAGAAGCACCGGCUAACUACGUGCCAGCAGCCGCGGUAAUACGUAGGGUGCGAGCGUUAAUCGGAAUUACUGGGCGUAAAGCGUGCGCAGGCGGUUUUGUAAGACAGAUGUGAAAUCCCCGGGCUUAACCUGGGAACUGCGUUUGUGACUGCGAGACUCGAGUGUGGCAGAGGGGGGUGAAAUUCCACGUGUAGCAGUGAAAUGGGUAGAGAUGUGGAGGAACACCGAUGGCGAAGGCAGCCCCCUGGGUUAACACUGACGCUCAUGCACGAAAGCGUGGGUAGCAAACAGGAUUAGAUA
Molecule: ribosomal RNA, 786 nt
Filed under: uncultured bacterium
Lineage: Bacteria
Description: bacterial SSU rRNA
Rfam family: Bacterial small subunit ribosomal RNA
Source: RNAcentral